Molecule: long non-coding RNA, 474 nt
Organism: Ornithodoros turicata
Lineage: Eukaryota; Metazoa; Arthropoda; Arachnida; Ixodida; Argasidae
Exons: 2
Source: RefSeq, a predicted model, not a curated record
UCUGCUACACGGUCUGGGCAUACGCGGCGCUUGUCUUAUAGAUAAAUGCUUAUCAUGUCUUUCGCCACAUAACUGGAAACGUUGUGACGCUUCUGUGGUGUACGCUGUCCGCAUACUUCUCCUCUUCUGUUCGCUUCAAUGGAAAUGCAUAGAGAAGACCUGGAUACGGACAUUUCUCAACGGGUGUGGUUGGUGUCUGCAUGCGCUGCAGGAUCUAUUAUCACCUCGGCGGUGUCCAUCUUCUUCGGGAUUUUCGUCAGCGCGGCUUUUAUACCGCUGUUGGUAGUGGGAAAUGGCAUUUGGAUCGCGGUUGCCUACAAGUACGGAUACAGGUGGCCCAAAAAGCAAGGAUGUCACGCCAACGGUGGUUCCCUCUGAGGGGCAUUCUGAGAAAACCACAAAAGCGUCAACCGAUUCCGCAAUAUGCCGCUAUGUCGAAAAGAUAAAUGACAAAAUUAAAAGACUAACUACAGU